UGGCGACCGGCGUACGGGUGGAGUAACGCGUAUCCAACCUGCCCUUUACUAUGGGACAGCCCGUCGAAAGGCGGAUUAAUACCGUAUGUUGUCAUGUUGAUGCAUAUUUUCAUGACCAAAGGCUUCGGCCGGUAAAGGAUGGGGAUGCGUCUGAUUAGCUUGCCGGCGGGGUAACGGCCCACCGGGGCGACGAUCAGUAGGGGUUCUGAGAGGAAGGUCCCCCACAUUGGAACUGAGACACGGUCCAAACUCCUACGGGAGGCAGCAG
RNAcentral lists this ribosomal RNA (268 nucleotides) under uncultured bacterium. Its description in RNAcentral is "partial 16S ribosomal RNA". It matches the Rfam family "Bacterial small subunit ribosomal RNA", at positions 89 to 354 of the family's 1533-position model. The record is from RNAcentral.